AACGAACGCUGGCGGCAUGCCUAACACAUGCAAGUCGAACGAUUGCCUUCGGGCGAUAGUGGCGCACGGGUGCGUAACGCGUGGGAAUCUGCCCUUAGGUGCGGUAUAACAGCUGGAAACGGCCGCUAAUACCGGAUGAUAUCGCGAGAACAAAGAUUUAUCGCCUGAGGAUGGGCCCGCGUUGGAUUAGGUAGUUGGUGGGGUAAAGGCCUACCAAGCCGACGAUCCAUAGCUGGUCUGAGAGGAUGAUCAGCCACACUGGGACUGAGACACGGCCCAGACUCCUACGGGAGGCAGCAGUGGGGAAUAUUGGACAAUGGGCGCAAGCCUGAUCCAGCAAUGCCGCGUGAGUGAUGAAGGCCCUAGGGUUGUAAAGCUCUUUUACCCGGGAAGAUAAUGACUGUACCGGGAGAAUAAGCCCCGGCUAACUCCGUG
Molecule: ribosomal RNA, 435 nt
Filed under: uncultured bacterium
Lineage: Bacteria
Description: partial 16S ribosomal RNA
Rfam family: Bacterial small subunit ribosomal RNA
Source: RNAcentral